AUGUGCCACUAAGUCUGAUGUGGAGAAGGAUAAUCAACACAAGGGUGCAUUACAAUACUCUUAUCAAGAUAGCAAAAGAAGACGGUGAAAAGAAAAAAUGAAGAAAAAAGUGUACACAUUUCAGAGAUGGAUGAUUCUAAUCAAGUUACAGUUAUUUGUUAUUAUUUUUUAAUGCAAGUGAACUUAUGAUUACUUAGUUGGAAGUGAACAGAGAAAAUGGAUAUGCAAUGGUUGAUUACAAAAGCUCAUACAAAGAAAGAUUGCUUUCCUACCAACAAGAUUAGGAGUUAUCACUAUUGAAAAUUGGAGAUCAACAGAUCACGCAGUUUUUAGCAUCUAAAUACGGGCCCGAAAUCGAAAAAUGAUGUGAACUGUGACGCUGGAUUGCAGCUGGCAAAAGAGCUGUGGCGGACAAAGGGAACCACCUCUUUCAUCAGUCACAUAUAUAGUAUCAAAGGGAAAGAGCUAUCAUUUUUAGUAGUUUUUUUUUUUUUCAUUUUCUUGAAUGUAAGCCCACUUAGUGUAUUUUUUUAGGCUGGUUUGUUCUACUUCUUAUCAAUAUGGGAACCACUAACAUAAAUUCUACAGGAUCAUUGUUGCAAGAUGAAUUUUUUUAAUGGCAAACGAAUGCUAUACAAGCCCGACCAUUCCGGUAAACUAAUUGGUGAAAGGUCACCCGCGCUUUGUGAAAACAGAUAGUUCUGAUGAUCAGGCCCACCCACAAUUCAAAGGGAAACCCACAACGUUAAUAUAUGUUAGUUUUGUUUGUCAUGUAUUUUGUGUAAUCUGACUCUAUUUUAUUUCUUUGUGUUCAUAGGUUCAUUCAUAUUGUUACUAUAUAAUACAUCAACGUAACCCGUCCACCGGACGGGUAUUAAACUAGUUAUGAUUAUGGUAACGGUCUGUGAAAUUUCGU
Molecule: long non-coding RNA, 916 nt
Filed under: Helianthus annuus (common sunflower)
Lineage: Eukaryota; Viridiplantae; Streptophyta; Magnoliopsida; Asterales; Asteraceae
Description: hypothetical non coding rna
Source: RNAcentral